Molecule: long non-coding RNA, 1082 nt
Filed under: Olea europaea (common olive)
Lineage: Eukaryota; Viridiplantae; Streptophyta; Magnoliopsida; Lamiales; Oleaceae
Description: long non-coding RNA (OEUR_LNC012389)
Source: RNAcentral
CGCCAUCGUCGUCGUCAUAUAUAUAUAUACAAGAAGUUCAAAAAUCAACUAUUUUUUUUUUCAGUUCCAAGAAAUUUAGAAUAACUUCUUGAAUAAUAUUUUCACAAAUCAAUUUCUUGAAUAACACUAACUUCUUGUUUACAUUCGUUUAUCUUGAGCCACAGAAAGUGAUUAAUCAGCUCCUCAUCUAAAAAAGAAAAAUGAAUACAUUUCUCACCCAUUUUCUCCUAAAAUCGUACCUAGAAAGCCACUGCUGUUUCACCGACACACGGUCCUUACCACCUCUAGCCUGCAUAACCUCGUUGAAGAAAAAAUCAACCUUAAUCCAUUUACCCCUAAAAUAGAGACCGGGUUUUGAAAACUUAAAAAGACAAAUGAACACAUUUGUCACCCAUUUUCUCCCAAAAUCGUACCCUGGAAAGCCAUCAACGUUUCGCCGACACACGGUCCUCAUCAACUCUGGCCUGCAUCACCUUGUUGAAAAAGAAAUCAACCUCAAUCUAUUUACCCCUAAAACAAAGACCUCCGUCACAAAUUGAUUCGAGUUUGUAGAUCAAUAACAAGAUGUGAGCUGCAAACUUCCAGCCACCAUGAAGUCUAGACCAAAAUCAUCAUCUGCCUAUGAACACAUCAUUUAUACACAUCGCUUGAGAGUAAGCAAUUGUUGUGGUUGUUGCUAUGUUUCUGUAAGGGUUUUAUAUUUGUGUUCAACGAAAUGAAUUCUUCGUCUCCGUCAAUAACAUUUUUUGAUUUUGACAUGGAUUUGUUUUUGUUAUCAUGCCUUUGAUUUUGUAAGGGUUUUACAGUUGCUACUAUUUUCGAUGUAUUGUAUACAAGUCACCAAUUUGAGCUUUAUAUUUGGAGAUUAAAAAUCUUGGUGAGAAUUAUAUUGUCAUUUUUGGGUUUUUCCCUACUGGAAUCUAAUUUAGCCAUAUUUUGCUUUGUAUUUUUGGGGUUUUCCUUGCUGGCAUCUAAAAAAUAGUUAGAAUUAUACCAAUUUGAGCUUGUAUUUUGCUUGUUCGUUUAAUUCGUGCCACAAUAGGAAGAAUUUUGACAUUAUUUUUAUGGUUUAAAAAAAANNN